CCCCACCCCCCUAACCAAGUCUUAAAGGGACUUAUUGGGCAUUAAAACUUCUACAGCUUCAUGUUUUGACAAAUGUAAACAUUGUAAUUUGUGAAAAAUGGCAACGUAUUAAUUAGUCGCUUCUCACAAACGGCACAGGGACACUUCCUCAAGAAGACAUCCAAUCCGUGAAAGUCUUCAAGUUCAACAUCACACUACUUCUCUCAUAGAACACUGCAUUCAAUGUUUCUCUAUGUAAAGCAGCACAAUGCCUGAGAUGUGACACACUGGCCCAAAG
Non-coding RNA from Pelobates cultripes (western spadefoot toad), 277 nucleotides. NCBI's taxonomy places the organism in Eukaryota, Metazoa, Chordata, Amphibia, Anura, Pelobatidae. The record is from the annotation of a GenBank genome assembly.